RNAcentral lists this ribosomal RNA (253 nucleotides) under uncultured bacterium. Its description in RNAcentral is "partial 16S ribosomal RNA". It matches the Rfam family "Bacterial small subunit ribosomal RNA", at positions 524 to 776 of the family's 1533-position model. The record is from RNAcentral.
UACGUAGGGUGCAAGCGUUAAUCGGAAUUACUGGGCGUAAAGCGUGCGCAGGCGGUUUUGCAAGACAGAUGUGAAAUCCCCGGGCUCAACCUGGGAACUGCAUUUGUGACUGCAUCGCUGGAGUGCGGCAGAGGGGGAUGGAAUUCCGCGUGUAGCAGUGAAAUGCGUAGAUAUGCGGAGGAACACCGAUGGCGAAGGCAAUCCCCUGGGCCUGCACUGACGCUCAUGCACGAAAGCGUGGGGAGCAAACAGG